UACGUAGGGUGCGAGCGUUAAUCGGAAUUAUUGGGCGUAAAGCGCGCGCAGGCGGUUUUGUAAGCCGGAUGUGAAAUCCCCGGGCUUAACCUGGGAAUGGCAUUCGGGACUGCAAGGCUGGAGUGCGGCAGAGGAGACUGGAAUUCCUGGUGUAGCAGUGAAAUGCGUAGAUAUCAGGAGGAACACCGAUGGCGAAGGCAGGUCUCUGGGCUGACACUGACGCUCAUGCACGAAAGCGUGGGGAGCAAACAGG
RNAcentral lists this ribosomal RNA (253 nucleotides) under uncultured bacterium. Its description in RNAcentral is "partial 16S ribosomal RNA". It matches the Rfam family "Bacterial small subunit ribosomal RNA", at positions 524 to 776 of the family's 1533-position model. The record is from RNAcentral.